RNAcentral lists this ribosomal RNA (460 nucleotides) under uncultured bacterium. RNAcentral's name for it is "partial 16S ribosomal RNA". It matches the Rfam family "Bacterial small subunit ribosomal RNA", at positions 338 to 795 of the family's 1533-position model. The record is from RNAcentral.
CCUACGGGAGGCAGCAGUGAGGAAUAUUGGUCAAUGGACGCGAGUCUGAACCAGCCAAGUCGCGUGCAGGAAGACUGCCCUACGGGUUGUAAACUUCUUUUGUAAGAGAAUAAAGUGAGACACGUGUGCCUUUCUGUAUGUACCUUACGAAUAAGGAUCGGCUAACUCCGUGCCAGCAGCCGCGGUAAUACGGAGGAUCCGAGCGUUAUCCGGAUUUAUUGGGUUUAAAGGGAGCGUAGACGGGCUGUUAAGUUAGUGGUGAAAGUUCGCGGCUCAACCUUAGAAUUGCAUUUGAUACUGGUAGGCUAGAGAACAGUUGAGGUAGGCGGAAUGUGUGGUGUAGCGGUGAAAUGCUUAGAGAUCACGCAGAACACCGAUUGCGAAGGCAGCUUACCAAGCUGCCACUGACGUUGAGGCACGAAAGCGUGGGGAGCAAACAGGAUUAGAUACCCGUGUAGUC